This 1537-nucleotide ribosomal RNA is filed under the name Escherichia coli. Its description in RNAcentral is "bacterial SSU rRNA". It matches the Rfam family "Bacterial small subunit ribosomal RNA". The record is from RNAcentral. Lineage: Bacteria; Pseudomonadati; Pseudomonadota; Gammaproteobacteria; Enterobacterales; Enterobacteriaceae.
UUGAAGAGUUUGAUCAUGGCUCAGAUUGAACGCUGGCGGCAGGCCUAACACAUGCAAGUCGAACGGUAACAGGAAACAGCUUGCUGUUUCGCUGACGAGUGGCGGACGGGUGAGUAAUGUCUGGGAAACUGCCUGAUGGAGGGGGAUAACUACUGGAAACGGUAGCUAAUACCGCAUAAUGUCGCAAGACCAAAGAGGGGGACCUUCGGGCCUCUUGCCAUCGGAUGUGCCCAGAUGGGAUUAGCUAGUAGGUGGGGUAACGGCUCACCUAGGCGACGAUCCCUAGCUGGUCUGAGAGGAUGACCAGCCACACUGGAACUGAGACACGGUCCAGACUCCUACGGGAGGCAGCAGUGGGGAAUAUUGCACAAUGGGCGCAAGCCUGAUGCAGCCAUGCCGCGUGUAUGAAGAAGGCCUUCGGGUUGUAAAGUACUUUCAGCGGGGAGGAAGGGAGUAAAGUUAAUACCUUUGCUCAUUGACGUUACCCGCAGAAGAAGCACCGGCUAACUCCGUGCCAGCAGCCGCGGUAAUACGGAGGGUGCAAGCGUUAAUCGGAAUUACUGGGCGUAAAGCGCACGCAGGCGGUUUGUUAAGUCAGAUGUGAAAUCCCCGGGCUCAACCUGGGAACUGCAUCUGAUACUGGCAAGCUUGAGUCUCGUAGAGGGGGUAGAAUUCCAGGUGUAGCGGUGAAAUGCGUAGAGAUCUGGAGGAAUACCGGUGGCGAAGGCGGCCCCCUGGACGAAGACUGACGCUCAGGUGCGAAAGCGUGGGGAGCAAACAGGAUUAGAUACCCUGGUAGUCCACGCCGUAAACGAUGUCGACUUGGAGGUUGUGCCCUUGAGGCGUGGCUUCCGGAGCUAACGCGUUAAGUCGACCGCCUGGGGAGUACGGCCGCAAGGUUAAAACUCAAAUGAAUUGACGGGGGCCCGCACAAGCGGUGGAGCAUGUGGUUUAAUUCGAUGCAACGCGAAGAACCUUACCUGGUCUUGACAUCCACAGAACUUUCCAGAGAUGGAUUGGUGCCUUCGGGAACUGUGAGACAGGUGCUGCAUGGCUGUCGUCAGCUCGUGUUGUGAAAUGUUGGGUUAAGUCCCGCAACGAGCGCAACCCUUAUCCUUUGUUGCCAGCGGUCCGGCCGGGAACUCAAAGGAGACUGCCAGUGAUAAACUGGAGGAAGGUGGGGAUGACGUCAAGUCAUCAUGGCCCUUACGACCAGGGCUACACACGUGCUACAAUGGCGCAUACAAAGAGAAGCGACCUCGCGAGAGCAAGCGGACCUCAUAAAGUGCGUCGUAGUCCGGAUUGGAGUCUGCAACUCGACUCCAUGAAGUCGGAAUCGCUAGUAAUCGUGGAUCAGAAUGCCACGGUGAAUACGUUCCCGGGCCUUGUACACACCGCCCGUCACACCAUGGGAGUGGGUUGCAAAAGAAGUAGGUAGCUUAACCUUCGGGAGGGCGCUUACCACUUUGUGAUUCAUGACUGGGGUGAAGUCGUAACAAGGUAACCGUAGGGGAACCUGCGGUUGGAUCACCUCCUU